UUAGUCUGAUGCAAAACGAAGAACCUUACCGGGGCUUGACAUACCGCGAAUCAUCUUGAAAGAGAGGGGUGCCUUCGGGAACGCAGACACAGAUGGUGCAUGGCUGUCGUCAUCUCGUGCCGUAAGGUGUUAGGUUAUAUCCUAUUUUAAGAGGGAUAAUCAACUUCGCAAAUAUCGAUCGAAACUUGAACCCUUGUAUAGGUAAUUUCAAAAAGCACAACAACUGAAAUAGGUGUCCCCGAAAAUUCCCAACACUUUAACGUCAGGGACA
Molecule: non-coding RNA, 271 nt
Filed under: Nicotiana sylvestris (wood tobacco)
Lineage: Eukaryota; Viridiplantae; Streptophyta; Magnoliopsida; Solanales; Solanaceae
Description: Bacterial small subunit ribosomal RNA
Rfam family: Bacterial small subunit ribosomal RNA
Source: Rfam by way of RNAcentral